CAGUAGCCGCGGUAAGACAGAGGAUGCAAGCGUUAUCCGGAAUGAUUGGGCGUAAAGCGUCUGUAGGUGGCUUUUCAAGUCCGCCGUCAAAUCCCAGGGCUCAACCCUGGACAGGCGGUGGAAACUACCAAGCUAGAGUACGGUAGGGGCAGAGGGAAUUUCCGGUGGAGCGGUGAAAUGCGUUGAGAUCGAAAAGAACACCAACGACGAAAGCACUCUGCUGGGUCGACACUGACACUGAGAGACGAAAGCUAGGGGAGCAAAUGGGAUUAGAUACCCCCGUAGUCCCUGUCUCUUAUAC
This 301-nucleotide ribosomal RNA is filed under the name uncultured bacterium. Its description in RNAcentral is "partial 16S ribosomal RNA". It matches the Rfam family "Bacterial small subunit ribosomal RNA", at positions 509 to 807 of the family's 1533-position model. The record is from RNAcentral.